AUUUACUUAGUAUAAUUAGUAUAAUUAGCUUCCAACUAAAAGGUUUAAAAUAUAAAGUAAAUA
This 63-nucleotide transfer RNA is filed under the name Dryodurgades formosana. RNAcentral's name for it is "tRNA-Gly". The record is from RNAcentral. Lineage: Eukaryota; Metazoa; Arthropoda; Insecta; Hemiptera; Cicadellidae.